Molecule: long non-coding RNA, 2001 nt
Filed under: Citrus maxima (pomelo)
Lineage: Eukaryota; Viridiplantae; Streptophyta; Magnoliopsida; Sapindales; Rutaceae
Description: long non-coding RNA (CMAX_LNC003920)
Source: RNAcentral
AAUCAUAUCCUUGAAAAUACAAAGAUAAAAUGCAAACUGCAGCGGAAGAAUUUAAAAUUCAUGCCAAACCAUCUAAUUCCUCCAUUCAAGUCCUUCUCGUUGCUCAUCACGACUCAAUCCUGAUUUACAAAAACUGAAUCACAAUAAACUAUAAUGAAUACGAAACUCAGUAAGUAAAUCAGCUUUGCAUAUACCAAAAUACAUACAUACAUAUAUAUAGUGCACAUGAAUGACGUACCGUGGUAUUCGAAAACAUUGUAAAACAAAUCAUCGAAAUCUCAUUCUGUCUUUCUCAAACUUUCACUUUCUCUUUCAAACCACUUACUUGAGCUACCUUCAUUCGAUUACCGCUUAGUAAGACACUCUCUUAACUUUCAUAACUUUCAUAGUUCUCACCAAUGUGUCCUUCGCCCACUUAUCUCAUAACUAUAUAAACAUCUAGAGUAUCCUCCACUAAGCCAGUAACGAAUUCAAGCAUCCAAGCUAAAACUGUAAAACAAUCUUUCUUUCGUCAAAUUCCACUUGCUAAAAUCAACUUUCUCAUUUUGCAGAAAUCAUAAUGCAUUUUCAUGCUCAUGCCAAUGAAAUAUUCACACAUACGUAUGCCCAUGUCCAUAAAUACACAUAACAACAUAUCAUACCAACACAUCACAUAAACACAUGGGCAAAACAUAUAAAUCAAUAUCCGGACAUAUACAAAAAUAAACUUUUCAAACAUGUCAAACAUAUAUAUUGUUUAUUGUGAUUCGUUUGGAAAUAUAGUUUACUUACCUCAUGGCAUCCUCGAAUAACAAAUGCACAUCGAUAUCAUCGGCCUAUAAAUAAAUAAAAAUACUCUCAUGAGAAUAAAAUUAAACAAUAAUCAUAAACUCCAAUAUUCUUAAAUUCCUCAAUAUAAUCACAUUCCAUACUAACCUCAAAUAAUUUUAAUUUAAAUAAUAAAUCAUCAAAAUACUCACAAUUCUUGAAAUUACGAAAUUACCCUCAAAUAUCAAAAUUACCAAAAUACCCUUGAAUUCAAUAUUACUAAAAUACCCUCAUAUCAAAAUUACCAAAUUAACCUCAAAAUCAUAAAUUACCAACUUUAUCCUCAAUUUCAGCAAUUAUUAAAACACCCACAAAAUCUGAAAUUACAAAAUUGCCCUUGGACUGUGAAAUUACCGAAAUACCCUUGCCGGUGGACGGUCACCGGAAUUCAACCGACGGCGACGGGAUGGCUCCGGAUCGAGCUCCCAAAAUCGUGAAUCCUCCAACGGCCGAUCAACGGCAAAACGACGUCCCCGGCGUCAGUGGUUAGUCGGAAAUGGCAGAGGGAAAGGUAAGAAACAAAACUCAAGUGAUGGCUUCACCGGAAACCGGCGAAAUCACGGCGAAUCGAGCCGGCGAUUCCGCGGUACUUCAAAGCUUCGAUCGGUGGCUUUCCGAUCGAUUUCCGGCGGCAAGGACGGCAUGGAUACGUUGCUCGUCUCUCAAGCUUCAAAUCGGUACCAACCUUGACCGGAACGGUGGCCGGAAAUGGAAUAACCGGCCGGGUCGCGCUCGCGGGUCGGGUUGGAUCCGGUUCUGUUUCUCCUCUCUCUCUCUUCUCUUCUCUCUUUCCUUUCUCUCUUUCUGUCAAUUUAUAUGGGUGGUCAACAGAGUCAAAACCGGGUGUGGGGUAUUACAGUAUUGUAAUAGAACCUAGAACUUCUAUGUAUUUUAGAAUGAAAAUUCUGUACAAUAGAAAAUAUUAAAACGAAAAUUAAAGUUGAUAUGAGAAAAUUAAAGAAGCUUGGAACUGCAAUCUAGCUCGACCUACUAUAUAUAUAUAUAUAUGUUAUUAAUUAAUUGAUCAGGUAAGAUAGAGAGAGACUCUCGGACUCUUUACAAGGAGCAAAAAUGGUAUGAAACUCUGUUUUGAUUAAAAUUCAAUGACUUUCUUCGUAUUAAUUAAUUAUUUUGGUGAAAUUGAUUCACGGUUUCAAAUGAGGACAUGCCGCGGAUGCGUGCGUGCCGUAUGAC